Pistacia vera is the source of this 466-nucleotide long non-coding RNA. RefSeq lists it as uncharacterized. The record is from RefSeq and is a predicted model, not a curated record. The transcript has 3 exons. Lineage: Eukaryota; Viridiplantae; Streptophyta; Magnoliopsida; Sapindales; Anacardiaceae.
UCUAUUGUUGGUCUCAAUUGCUCUUUUUGGAUAUGGGUUUUUACCAUCAAACAUGUGGUAAUUGCACUUUAUCUUCUCAAGUUGAUUCUUUUGCAAUUGUCCUUAACGCCAUAAUAGUCGUAGCUCUGGUCUUCUCUUUCACCGCAUUCUUUGUUUACAAGCAAUAUGAAUCAGAACUAGAUGGCCUACAAAGCCCUUCUUAAUUGUAGAAAGAAAUCAAAAUCAUUGUUGAUAGCGCUGUCUACACUGCUGUCGCAUCAUUUCUUCGUAACUACAGGAUAUUGCAUGAACCCAACGCCCAUACAGUGGUAAAAGACUGACAAUGACUCCACUGACUCGAUAUUUUUCUCGAGUGAGUUUUAAACUGCUUGUACAUGAUCUGUAGCUUAAUUAGGCUUUGUCUCAAAACUGUAGAGAUGAUUUGUCUCCUAAAAAAUAAUAUAUAUAUAUGGGAUAUAUAUUUAUA